GGCCGAGUGGUGGAAUUGGUAGACACGCGAGAUUCAAAAUUUCGUGCCUUCGGGCGUGUCGGUUCGACUCCGACCUCGGCUACCA
This 85-nucleotide transfer RNA is filed under the name Gammaproteobacteria bacterium. RNAcentral describes it as "tRNA-Leu". It matches the Rfam family "tRNA". From Rfam's summary of the family: Transfer RNA (tRNA) molecules are approximately 80 nucleotides in length. Their secondary structure includes four short double-helical elements and three loops (D, anti-codon, and T loops). Further hydrogen bonds mediate the characteristic L-shaped molecular structure. tRNAs have two regions of fundamental functional importance: the anti-codon, which is responsible for specific mRNA codon recognition, and the 3' end, to which the tRNAs corresponding amino acid is attached (by aminoacyl-tRNA synthetases). tRNAs cope with the degeneracy of the genetic code in two manners: having more than one tRNA (with a specific anti-codon) for a particular amino acid; and 'wobble' base-pairing, i.e. permitting non-standard base-pairing at the 3rd anti-codon position. Lineage: Bacteria; Pseudomonadati; Pseudomonadota; Gammaproteobacteria. The record is from RNAcentral.